ACGGGUGAGUAACACGUGGGAACGUACCUUUAGGUUCGGAACAACUCAGGGAAACUUGAGCUAAUACCGGAUAAGCCCUUCGGGGGAAAGAUUUAUCGCCUUUAGAGCGGCCCGCGUUAGAUUAGCUAGUUGGUGGGGUAAAGGCCCACCAAGGCUACGAUCUAUAGCUGGUCUGAGAGGAUGAUCAGCCACACUGGGACUGAGACACGGCCCAGACUCCUACGGGAGGCAGCAGUGGGGAAUCUUGCGCAAUGGGCGAAAGCCUGACGCAGCCAUGCCGCGUGAAUGAUGAAGGUCUUAGGAUUGUAAAAUUCUUUUAGCAGGGACGAUAAUGACGGUACCUGCGGAAAAAGCCCCGGCUAACUUCGUGCCAGCAGCCGCGGUAAUACGAAGGGGGCUAGCGUUGCUCGGAAUUACUGGGCGUAAAGGGAGCGUAGGCGGGUUAUCAAGUUGGAGGUGAAAGCCCAGGGCUCAACCUUGGAAUUGCCUUCAAAACUGGUAACCUAGAGUAUGGAAGAGGUAAGUGGAACUCCGAGUGUAGAGGUGAAAUUCGUAGA
This 557-nucleotide ribosomal RNA is filed under the name uncultured bacterium. Its description in RNAcentral is "bacterial SSU rRNA". It matches the Rfam family "Bacterial small subunit ribosomal RNA", at positions 102 to 694 of the family's 1533-position model. The record is from RNAcentral.